RNAcentral lists this unclassified non-coding RNA (345 nucleotides) under soil metagenome. RNAcentral describes it as "partial contains 5.8S ribosomal RNA, internal transcribed spacer 2, and large subunit ribosomal RNA". The stretch from base 1 to 119 matches the Rfam family "5.8S ribosomal RNA", at positions 35 to 154 of the family's 154-position model. The record is from RNAcentral.
GAUGAAGAACGUAGCGAAAUGCGAUACGUAAUGUGAAUUGCAAAUUCAGUGAAUCAUCGAGUCUUUGAACGCACAUUGCGCCCCCUGGUAUUCCGGGGGGCAUGCCUGUCCGAGCGUCAUUGCUGCCCUCAAGCACGGCUUGUGUGGUGGGCCCCGUCCUCCGAUCCCGGGGGACGGGCCCGAAAGGCAGCGGCGGCACCGCGUCCGGUCCUCGAGCGUAUGGGGCUUUGUCACCCGCUCUGUAGGCCCGGCCGGCGCUUGCCGAUCAACCCAAAUUUUUAUCCAGGUUGACCUCGGAUCAGGUAGGGAUACCCGCUGAACUUAAGCAUAUCAAUAAGCGGAGGA